RNAcentral lists this ribosomal RNA (466 nucleotides) under uncultured bacterium. Its description in RNAcentral is "partial 16S ribosomal RNA". It matches the Rfam family "Bacterial small subunit ribosomal RNA", at positions 28 to 507 of the family's 1533-position model. The record is from RNAcentral.
GACGAACGCUGGCGGCGCGCCUAACACAUGCAAGUCGAACGAGCGAGAGAGAGCUUGCUUUCUUGAGCGAGUGGCGAACGGGUGAGUAACGCGUGAGGAACCUGCCUCAAAGAGGGGGACAACAGUUGGAAACGACCGCUAAUACCGCAUAAGCCCACGACCCGGCAUCGGGUUGAGGGAAAAGGAGCAAUCCGCUUUGAGAUGGCCUCGCGUCCGAUUAGCUAGUUGGUGAGGUAACGGCCCACCAAGGCGACGAUCGGUAGCCGGACUGAGAGGUUGAACGGCCACAGUGGGACUGAGACACGGCCCAGACUCCUACGGGAGGCAGCAGUGGGGAAUAUUGCACAAUGGGGGAAACCCUGAUGCAGCGACGCCGCGUGGAGGAAGAAGGUCUUCGGAUUGUAAACUCCUGUUGUUGAGGAAGAUAAUGACGGUACUCAACAAGGAAGUGACGGCUAACUACGUG